GCAUGCCUAAAACAUAGCUUUAAUGCACCAGAUCCCAUUAGAACUCUACAAUUAAGCGCGUUCAAGCUAGACUAGUACUGGGAUGGGUGACUUCUUAGGAAGUCCUAGUGUUUUACAUGCC
Non-coding RNA from Picea glauca (white spruce), 121 nucleotides. The record is from Rfam. NCBI's taxonomy places the organism in Eukaryota, Viridiplantae, Streptophyta, Pinopsida, Pinales, Pinaceae.